RNAcentral lists this ribosomal RNA (522 nucleotides) under uncultured Glomus. Its description in RNAcentral is "SSU rRNA". It matches the Rfam family "Eukaryotic small subunit ribosomal RNA", at positions 569 to 1092 of the family's 1831-position model. The record is from RNAcentral. Lineage: Eukaryota; Fungi; Glomeromycota; Glomeromycetes; Glomerales; Glomeraceae.
AGCAGCCGCGGUAAUUCCAGCUCCAAUAGCGUAUAUUAAAGUUGUUGCAGUUAAAAAGCUCGUAGUUGAAUUUCGGGGUCAGUAGGUCGGUCGUGCCACUGGUAUGAACUGGUUUUACUGAUUCCUCCCUCUUGAAGAACUAUAAUGUCAUUAAUUUGGUGUUGUAGGGAAUCAGGACUGUUACUUUGAAAAAAUUAGAGUGUUUAAAGCAGGCUUUAGCUUGAAUACAUUAGCAUGGAAUAAUGAAAUAGGACGUUUGAUCCUAUUUUGUUGGUUUCUAGGAUUGACGUAAUGAUUAAUAGGGAUAGUUGGGGGCAUUAGUAUUCAAUUGUCAGAGGUGAAAUUCUUGGAUUUAUUGAAGACUAACUACUGCGAAAGCAUUUGCCAAGGAUGUUUUCAUUAAUCAAGAACGAAAGUUAGGGGAUCGAAGACGAUCAGAUACCGUCGUAGUCUUAACCAUAAACUAUGCCGACUAGGGAUCGGAUGAUGUUAAUUUUUUAAUGACUCAUUCGGCGCCUUACG